Molecule: long non-coding RNA, 2323 nt
Filed under: Salmo salar (Atlantic salmon)
Lineage: Eukaryota; Metazoa; Chordata; Actinopteri; Salmoniformes; Salmonidae
Description: lncRNA (ENSSSAG00000090628.1, ENSSSAG00000099442.1)
Source: RNAcentral
UGUUCCUUGUCAUGUGAUAGGUCAUGGGAAUGGGACAAUUCUUUUUCCUAGUGCUCUCUCAGACCAACACAGACCAAGACACUGAGACUUACACAGAUUUACUGAAACCACAUUUCUGGGUUUUAACAAAAUUCAGAGAAAAAUGAAGGCAAAGUCUGAAUCCAAUUAUCAAAGAGCCUCUCUCAUGCUCCCAGAACUGAGGGCAGUGAUUAUGGGACCGCACAGGUCUGGGACACACUCAGUUGGAAACACCAUCAUGGGAAGAGAGGCCUUUCAUUCUGAGGGAAUCACUGCCCAGUGUGAAAAGAGAGAUGGAGGAUUGGGAGGAAGGAAAGUAACUCUGAUCAAAGCUCCUGGCUGGUGGAGGGAAUAUCAGUUGUGUGACACACCAGAACUUGUUAAGGAACUUGUGUAUGAAGAUACCCAUAUUCUGAACAAACUGAGAAUCCUGAUGCUGGGGUGCGUCUUUGUCUGGAAAAGUGCUGCUGGAAACAUUAUCCUGAACACUGAUAAGUUUGAGGCGGGAGAAAGAACACUGAAGUCUACAAGACGUUGUGGUGUGGUUGUAGACACACCAGGAUGGUGGAAGCUCUUUCUGGCUGAGUUCACUCUUCCCUCAGUGAGGUCAGAUAUCCUGGCAGGUGUUUCUUUGUGCUCUCCUGCCCCCAAUGCUGUCCUCCUGAUGAUUCCUGUGGAUACAUAUUUUACUGAGGAACAGAGGAAGGUGACACAGGACAACAUGAAGCUGCUGGGAGAGAACAUCUGAAGACACACUAUAGUGGUGUUUACCAGGGGGGCGUGGCUGAGAGACACAACAACCAUUGAGCAGCACAUUGAGAGUGAAGGGGAGGCCCUCCGGUGGCUCAUCGAGAAAUGUGGGAACAGGUAUCAUGUCUUUGACAGUAAGGGUGAAGACACUGAAACUUAGGUCACAGAGCUGCUGGAUGAAAUGGAGGAGAUGGUGUCAGGAAACUUUUUUCUGAUACCCAUUGUCUAGUGGAGACAAAGUCUGAUCCACAGCCAGAGGUCAAUGAAGAGGAAGAAGCAACUGGCAAGAUCGGACAAAUUCUCAAUAAAGACUGGGAUCGGAGAAACUGUGAUAGUCUGGAAAUAGCGAUGGCAUCAAAUAGAAGUAUGAGUGCAGCUAUUAACUGGGAGUACUCUCUCUUCUUUUCUCUCUCUUUCCCUUAGCGCUUUUUCUUUGAUUGAGGUUCAUCAUCAUUAUUGUCAUUUCUGUGCAGUCAGAGACAAGCCACCCUUGGAGAGCUCAUAACUGGGAGAGGGAGUGUUUGGCAGAAGAGCAGAGACCAUGGCAGAGCAGAAGGAGGUUGAGGCUGCCAGCAGCAGUAAGCAAGCAUUGUCUUAUUUUCAUAAAGUUGUGUACCUGACAGUGUUCUUCUUUCAUAAUCGUCCUGGUUUCAACAGGAACAGGUCAAAGUACAGACAUAAACCAGUUGACAUGCAGAGCUGAACAGCAUAUUCAGAGAAUUGCUGGAGAGGCAGUGGAGCAGGCAUGAGAUAGCCUAUCUACAGAGUCAUGAUCCCGUCACAGAGCCACCGAGUGGCUGAAAGGACAGCAGAAACGUUAUAACAGCUCUGGACUUGGCACCACAAGUAUGGAAUAUAUACACAGCAGUAACACAGGGGACUUUGAGACAUAUAUGAGCAACUAGCUCAUGAUGAAGAGAAACAUCAUGCAUUAACUUCUCUAGUUUAGGAGUAAAUGUGACUAGCCUCAGAAGACAACAGAGAUGUGACACAGAUUCUUCUACUUUAACCCACCCAACACUGUGAUGCUAUAUUGUGGACCAUUUAUCUGAAGUCAGUUUACGUUUUACAUUCUCUUAGUUUUUGAUUUGUAAAUAUGUAUUUACAGUAGAUGAUCUACUAACUGAAUAUAUACAGUAUAUUACACAUGUGCUGCCCUAUAAAACCCAUCUUUGAUACAUGUCCUAUGCAUUAUUGUCACGGCCGUCGUAUAAAGUGGACCAAAAUGCAGCGGGAGUCUGUAUACUCAUCUUCUUUUUUAUUGUCAGAAAGAAGGAAAAACAAAACAAAACACACGUAUACAAAAAUAAUGACGACAAACAGUCCUGUAAGGCACACAGCUAUACACGAAACAACUACCCACAAAAACCCAUGAAAAAACACCCCUGCUAAAUAGGACCUUCAAAACCCCGAAACACAUAAAACAAACACCCCCUGCCACAUCCUGACCAAACUACAAUAACAAAUAACCCCUUUUACUGGUCAGGACGUGACAAUUAUGUAUACAAUUCUAAUGUAAUACUGUCCUUAUCAAACUGUUUAUUGUACCAAUGCU